This 253-nucleotide ribosomal RNA is filed under the name uncultured bacterium. Its description in RNAcentral is "partial 16S ribosomal RNA". It matches the Rfam family "Bacterial small subunit ribosomal RNA", at positions 524 to 776 of the family's 1533-position model. The record is from RNAcentral.
UACGAGGGGGGCGAGCGUUGUUCGGAAUUAUUGGGCGUAAAGGGUGCGUAGGCGGUUCCGCAAGUCCUGUGUGAAAUCUUCGGGCUCAACUCGAAGUCUGCACGGGAAACUGCGGGGCUUGAGUGUGGGAGAGGUGAGUGGAAUUCCCGGUGUAGCGGUGAAAUGCGUAGAGAUCGGGAGGAACACCAGUGGCGAAGGCGGGUCUCUGGGCCGAUACUGACGCUGAGGAGCGAAAGCGUGGGGAGCAAACAGG